UGUCAAGGGAUGGGAAUCGAAUCCACGACCUUCCGCUUACCGGGCAGAUGCCAUGACCACUAGGCUACCCUGGAC
Molecule: transfer RNA, 75 nt
Filed under: Cordylochernes scorpioides
Lineage: Eukaryota; Metazoa; Arthropoda; Arachnida; Pseudoscorpiones; Chernetidae
Description: tRNA-Thr
Source: RNAcentral